GUAGGUGGCAAGCGUUGUCCGGAAUUAUUGGGCGUAAAGCGCGCGCAGGCGGUUCUUUAAGUCUGAUGUGAAAGCCCACGGCUCAACCGUGGAGGGUCAUUGGAAACUGGAGAACUUGAGUACAGAAGAGGAAAGCGGAAUUCCACGUGUAGCGGUGAAAUGCGUAGAGAUGUGGAGGAACACCAGUGGCGAAGGCGGCUUUCUGGUCUGUAACUGACGCUGAGGCGCGAAAGCGUGGGGAGCAAACAGGGAUUAGAUACCCUGGUAGUCCACGCCGUAAACGAUGAGUGCUAAUGUUAGGGGGUUUCCGCCCCCUUAGUGCUGCAGCUAACGCAUUAAGCACUCCGCCUGGGGUAGUACGGCCGCAAGGCUG
RNAcentral lists this ribosomal RNA (373 nucleotides) under uncultured organism. RNAcentral's name for it is "partial 16S ribosomal RNA". It matches the Rfam family "Bacterial small subunit ribosomal RNA", at positions 527 to 896 of the family's 1533-position model. The record is from RNAcentral.